GCAAGAAAACCUUGUAUUGGUUACACCUACCUGGGGUGUCAGUCCAGAUGUGAUGAGGUCAACUUGCGGAGAUGUCGCAUUGGCCAUACACGAUACACUUAUGAAGACUUAAUAAAAGGCGAGGACCCUCC
This is a long non-coding RNA of Haliotis rubra (blacklip abalone), 131 nucleotides long. RefSeq lists it as uncharacterized. The transcript is spliced from 3 exons. The record is from RefSeq and is a predicted model, not a curated record. Lineage: Eukaryota; Metazoa; Mollusca; Gastropoda; Lepetellida; Haliotidae.